This 657-nucleotide ribosomal RNA is filed under the name Triticum aestivum (bread wheat). RNAcentral describes it as "partial small subunit ribosomal RNA". Lineage: Eukaryota; Viridiplantae; Streptophyta; Magnoliopsida; Poales; Poaceae. The record is from RNAcentral.
AUGGCUGGGAAUUAUGGAAGAGGCUACGGUGUAGCCAGAUUCAAUAGAGGGGGCUGGACUGGAGAUACUGGGGGGAGAUCCAACAACAUUAGUAGAGGGGGAGGAUUUAGCAGAGGUAGAUCGGUUUCCUUUGAAAAAUCUGGAGGAUAUGGAAGAGGUGGUGACAGAUUUGGAAAUAAUGUUGGAUUUGGCAGAGGAUUUGAUGUAGAGGAGGAACUUUCAGUAGAGGAGGAACUUUUAGUAGAGGAUAAAGGAGAAUCUAUGAGUUGGCAAGCCAAAACAGGGAAAAAAGAGAUAGUAGAAGAUAACAAAAGAAGAGCUAAUGAGGAGGUUGGAAAAUCUGGUGAAGAGCAAGAGGGGGAGAGAGAGCAGCUGGCCAACGUGGAUCAAGGUCAACAACAGAAGUUGCUUGCUUCGUUGCUCUCUCAACUGGUGCAAGGGAUAAAAGGCAAUGAAAAUGGGCAGCUGGAAAAGAUGAUUGGAAGCUCCUUUGGCAAUCAGGCUGGAGGGGACAUUCAGAGAAAGGAAGAGAGGAGUGGUGAAACUAUGCAGAAAACAGAUAAAGGAAAUGGGCUGAACCCUAAUAUGGAGACCAAGAAGCAGAGUGGGAGAGGCAAUUGGCAGCAGACCUUGGAAGACAACAAAAAAAGGGAAUGA